Molecule: ribosomal RNA, 630 nt
Filed under: Ralpharia gorgoniae
Lineage: Eukaryota; Metazoa; Cnidaria; Hydrozoa; Anthoathecata; Tubulariidae
Description: partial large subunit ribosomal RNA
Rfam family: Bacterial large subunit ribosomal RNA
Source: RNAcentral
AAAAACAUAGCUUUAUAAAAAAAAAAUGAAUUUAAAGUGAAACCUGCCCAAUGAUAUAAGUUUAUAAUUUUAAAAUAAUUAAAAUAAUAUUAAAUGGAUGCGGUAACUCUGACUGUAAUAAAGUAGCAUAAUAAUUUGUCAUUUAAUUGGUGAAAGGAAUGAAUGGUUAAACGAAUAUUUCAUUGUCUUAAUUAAAAUUUUUUAAAAUUAAAAUAAUAGUGAUGAUGCUAUUAAUAAUUGUAAGACGAAAAGACCCUAUAGAGCUUUACUAUAAUUUUUAAAUAUUAAAUAAAUAAUUUUUGUUUUAUUUUAAAAAUUGGUAGUUUAAUUGGGGCAAUUAUCUUUUAUAAAAAAUAAAGAUAAACAAUAAUUAAUAAAUUUAAUUUACUGUAUAAUAAAUAGAUUUAACAGUUAUGAUUGUAGGUUAUAAUGAUCAAUUAAAAUUUAUAAAAUGUUUUAAUAAUUAAUAAAUAAAAGUUACCUUAGGGAUAACAGGAUAAUUUUGUUUUAGAGUUCUUAUCGAUAACAAAGUUUGUCACCUCUAUGUUGAAUUAAGAUAUCCUAAUAAUGCAAAAGUUAUUGAGGGUGGGUUUGUUCAACCUUUAAAAUCUUACAUGAUUUGAGUUCAUU